This is a long non-coding RNA of Capsicum annuum, 782 nucleotides long. RefSeq lists it as uncharacterized. The transcript is spliced from 2 exons. NCBI's taxonomy places the organism in Eukaryota, Viridiplantae, Streptophyta, Magnoliopsida, Solanales, Solanaceae. The record is from RefSeq and is a predicted model, not a curated record.
GUUAUCACAUAUUCUCUACAUCUUCUCCAUCACUAAAAGUUGUGAUAAAGUAAGGUUAGGACAAAGAGGUAGAAACCAAAUUCGUAUUAACUCUUCCACUUCUCUGUGCGUGCACUAAUGUCUUCCACAUCAGGUCUGCUGCUCGACAUCUCUUUGAAGAAGACCUAGAAAUGGUAGAGAAGCGAAUCACUAAUACGAAAAAGGUGUAGUAAGUGAAGUAAAAUGAAGAUUCUCCCUUUUGUCAGAGAGAUACUCCUAGACAAACAUCAUUGCCUGCUUCAAAGCGUUCUAGACGCCCUGUUAACUUUGAUGACGGUGAGAAAGAGUCUUCUGAGUAUGAAACUGAAGAGGAAGAAGAGAGGCCUCCACCGUGUAGAAAGUCUAUUCAGGAGGAGGAGCCAGAAUAUGAAGAAGAGCAAGAGCGUGGUCGGGGUGAGGAAGAAGAGGCAUAUGAAGAGUCAGAAGAGGGAGGUUGAGGUAGGAAACUGUUCUUCAGUGUCCAGUAUUAUCCAAUCUGAACCUUCUUGAUCAUGGAGUUGUUGAGUAAGACCUUAACGAUUGCUAGAUAUGCUUGCGACAUUUGCAAGACCUUAAUGAGGAUAAUUUUCUUGUGUUCUGGCUUCUGGCUGUGUAAUAAUCUGGAGUUAAGAUUGUUGCCUAAGUUGCGCGGACUCUCCUCUUUUGAUGCCGCACCCGUGUCGGAUUCUCCAAAAAUACACUACUUUGGGCGAAUCCGACACUCAACGGCCGACAUUUUUAAAGAGUUUGUUGCACGUGUGAAA